This 409-nucleotide ribosomal RNA is filed under the name Escherichia coli. RNAcentral's name for it is "bacterial SSU rRNA". It matches the Rfam family "Bacterial small subunit ribosomal RNA", at positions 1012 to 1421 of the family's 1533-position model. Lineage: Bacteria; Pseudomonadati; Pseudomonadota; Gammaproteobacteria; Enterobacterales; Enterobacteriaceae. The record is from RNAcentral. RNAcentral also lists the same sequence under 2 other names.
AUGUGCCUUCGGGAACCGUGAGACAGGUGCUGCAUGGCUGUCGUCAGCUCGUGUUGUGAAAUGUUGGGUUAAGUCCCGCAACGAGCGCAACCCUUAUCCUUUGUUGCCAGCGGUCCGGCCGGGAACUCAAAGGAGACUGCCAGUGAUAAACUGGAGGAAGGUGGGGAUGACGUCAAGUCAUCAUGGCCCUUACGACCAGGGCUACACACGUGCUACAAUGGCGCAUACAAAGAGAAGCGACCUCGCGAGAGCAAGCGGACCUCAUAAAGUGCGUCGUAGUCCGGAUUGGAGUCUGCAACUCGACUCCAUGAAGUCGGAAUCGCUAGUAAUCGUGGAUCAGAAUGCCACGGUGAAUACGUUCCCGGGCCUUGUACACACCGCCCGUCACACCAUGGGAGUGGGUUGCAAA